RNAcentral lists this long non-coding RNA (7769 nucleotides) under Setaria viridis. RNAcentral describes it as "long non-coding RNA (SVIR_LNC005430)". Lineage: Eukaryota; Viridiplantae; Streptophyta; Magnoliopsida; Poales; Poaceae. The record is from RNAcentral.
UAAACGGAAUUUACAAAAUCGGCCGAAGAUCGUGUCGAUGCAGCCCUGCCAACCCAUACGAACUCGUGAAAGAAAAAGAAGUAUUGGCGAAGUCGCCGACUUGAAAGUAAAGUACAAUGAAAAAGUAGAUUGUUUGUACUGAUUGAUGUGUUGUUCACAAAUCUCUAGAGAUGGCUAGUUAUAGCCUGUUACAACUGAUUUCCUAACCGACUAGGAUCUAUCUCUAAUUUUAAACGAAAACAAAUAUUUACAAACACAACUUGUAUCGGAGUUGGUUAUCAUAUUCCCACGGGCCAAUCUUUCUCUAUCUUCCUUUCUGGCCCACCUUAAGCCCAUACUAGCCCAGCUGCUCCAACCUUCCAAUCGGCUGACUUCUGUCAACUCCAUUCGCCAAUCGGCCAAUACACUGUAGCACCAAUCGGCCGAUUCCCAACUAUGGCUUUUAGUCCGCCGCAUCGGCCAAUCUUUUCCUUCCCUGACGCCAAUUCAAAAUACGUGUCAAAAUCUGGCGUCAACACAUGCCCCCCCAGUUUCGAAGUAAAACAUAGCUUUUACUUCGAAAUUCUUUUUUAACUCUCUCUCCGAAACAAACGCGGCAAAAAUCCCCUUCUGUUUCGUGGUCUUCUACCUGAUGAUUGCAAUCUUUUCGAACUGGGCGCCUGAGACAACUGCUCCUCCGAAAUUCGUGUAGACGGCGCGAUAAAAAUCCUGCCUUUACCCCUUCUCUCGGACCGUCUUUAAAUACCGACGUCCUCUACCGCUUCUUCUCCACGAGCUCAGUAACUUCCUCCCCGGCGAAUCACUUUCCAUCUUCUUCCUGCGCCCUUUUGUCUUCCAAUCGCAUUCUCUGGCCAUUCUUCUUUCGUCUGCAUCCCACUUCACUUUCCCUCAAUGGCGGUGCCAUCGGCAAGUCCACCAACAACGGAGGCUCCGCCGGCAGCUCCAUCAACAACGGCAGUUCCAUCGGCAACCCUAUCAGCAACGAUGAGCUUCAUUCCAGAGGUAAACAUCCAGAACCUUUUCUCUUUAGUUUUUACCACCCAUGCAUUUUUUAGAUCUAUUCUUAGUUCUUCCUUUUUAUCUUUCUUAGGCGGUCGAACAGCAAAUCACCAUCCGUCUUUUCGAUGCACCUGGCCUUAUUUGCCUAGGCCCUAUGGGGAACCCAGACCCAACUGAUCUGAUCAAUUUAGAAACCCAUAGGAUCUCCUUUAAGCAAUCACCUAUGGAUUUGAGCCAGUGGUCAGGCACUUUUAGAUCUUGGCCGAAUGAAACUCCCGGCUGGAAAGAAUGGUACCAAAGAAUGGCCAACUCCAAGAGAGUUCAAUGGGAUGAAUUGAAAAUCGGCCAAUGUAUAAAUCUAUCUUUGUCCCAUAUGGAGAAAAAUGAACCCCUGGUGAUAGCAGCCUCUUAUUUCUGGUCUGACGCGCUCAAUGUGUUUCUCUUUGGGCACGGACCCAUGACCCUGACUCUGGCAGAUGUUUUGAUGCUGACUAGUCUCGACAUUUCUUCCCCCGAUACCCCUUUUAAUUAUCUGAUCAAGCCAGCCCAUCGGCUAGAGACGAAAGGAAUCGGUGGGUGGAAGGGGUAUAUCAAUAAAAACAUGAGGACCGGGAUGAUUUUAGAGAGAGAAUACGUAGCCUUCUUGAUGAUGUGGCUAGAGAAGCACCUCUUCUGCGGCAGAGCAGUCGGCCCUUCUUCCAACACACAAGCUCUGGCCGAAGCCCUGGCAAGAGGAUCCACUAUUCCUCUAGGGAAACAUCUGUUAGGAUCGGCCUACCACAUGAUGCACCAGAUUGCCAUUAAACUGUCAAACGGAGAGCCGAAUAUUUCAGAUGCUUCUAUAACAGCUUUAGUGAAGAAACCACAAGUUGGUACCCAUACCAAAGAACAGAGCUACUUUUCGCGCUGCCCUUCUGCUAUGACUCGACGUCCAACUCUUUUGACAAUGAUCUCACAGACACCUUGAUCAAACCAGGGAUGUUAUCGGCGAACUUCUUUUCCGGGAAAGAUUCCCCAACUUAUGAGUUUUAUAACCCAUUAGUUGCAGCACGGCAGUUCAGUCUUGGUCAGUUGCCGAUUUAGGUUUACUUUGCUGGCUUCGCAAAAAUUCCGGGACGAGCUCACCAAGGGUCUUGAUUACAAUCAGCUGUGCAAUCUAGUGCUAGACUCCAGCACCAUCGAUCUAAACAACUGGGUGGUAGCUCCUUUUGCUGUCAAGCAAUUUAUACUAUGGUGGGGAGAAUGAAACUAACAUCUCUUCUGUGUAUCCCCCACAACAUACUAUAAUGACUUGGACCCUGACAACAUCGACCCAAAUGCAGCGGUACUACCUUCUUCUCAGUCGAUUUCAUCGUCAUCUCUUUUAUGCUACAAAUUUACCGCUAACUCUUAUUUCCUUUUGCAGUCCGAAAGUCGACUUCCCGCAAUGCACAGCCGAAGUGGUAGGCCGAUAGAAAAUCGCUAUCCAUAUACAUCAUUCCCACUUAUCGGCUAUCAUGCUCCAACCAUUGAAGACAAUACCACCGGCCGAUCGAAACAGGCGCUGAACAAAACCUCUUCAAAGAAGACGAGUCGCCGAGUGCACGCCCGUAUAGAACUGGCCGAUCAGUCGGCGGUGGCAUCAGCUGAAUCUUUAGCUACGCCGAUCCUACUGAUUGUCGAAGAAGUCGACCCCCAGGCCGCUACAGAAGCUGGAGCAGCUGCUGCAUCAUUGUUGAUAGAAGCUGUUCAGGUAACUUCGUACACCUCGCACUCUUCUAAGUAUUUUGUCGAUAUUAACUUCUUCCUUCUGUUAGACUACGCAAAUCGCUCCAGUGCAAUCCCCGCAACGAUCGGCCACAAUCCAAGUAGAGGCAGGGACGCUAGCAAUCCCUCCUACUGAGGUAGAGAAAAUCCAUUCAAAUCAAAUCUCUCAAUCCUUAAUCAAAAUCUAACCGAUUUCUGAUGCAGACUACCCUGGGCACGUCAAUCGCGCCCUUUCAACAGCCAUCGGCCGGACGACUUGCUGAGGUAUAGCAGUUAUUAUCUGUCACCAGACUUUAUCACUUGCCUCAUACUCAUUGUGAUUCGUUUCUUGAUCCUUUCCAGGAGGCUGGCUCGAGCACGGCGACGAUAAUCAUCGAAUCCUCCUCCUCCGAUGAACCAGCCGUGCCAGUUCCCGAGAUGAGGGUAACGCUCCCUCCGGUGCAAGCAGAAGAAAUCCGCUUUAAAGAGGUAAGAAACUUAACAUCCAAAUUGGCCAAUUUCCUAUUACCAUCGGCUAAUCUAUAUUUUUAUCAUUUCUUCUUUCUCACGGGCAGGACACGCCCAACAACAGCCUCUUCUCCUUUGCGGUUGCACUUUCUGACGAUGAAGAGGUAGCCUCACGCCAAGUCGCAUUGAGCUCGAUCCCCGAUGACGUCCGUGCCAAGCUCGAGAGCAUACGGACCCUCCUCCAAGACGACAUCGGCCGACUAGUGGAAGACGCUUCGCCGAUUCGGUAGCUUCUCGGCGAAGUCAGAGGCCGAGUUCCAAAAGAGGCAGAAGAGGCUCUGGCACCCACUGCAUACAUCGAGUCAAUGCGAAUUCCAGUGUUCAGGGCCUUACGCCAUAUGGCCGAUCGUGCCAAAUUAGCAAAGGCACGUGAACAGGACAACUCCUAUAAACACCGAGCUCAAGAAGUGCAUCAACGAAUCAGCUUCCUCGAGAACUCCUGCCCAGAUACCGUCAGCACCAUAGACCGCCUCAAACGGCGAAGGGCAGAACUUGCCAAGGAGAUGGAGUAGGUGAUCAAGGCCAUAGCCGCCGAAGAGAAGAAACUUCAAGACCUCCCAUUUGUCAUUGCUGAUUUGAAGCAGGAGCGGCAGAACUUGGCCCAUGAAGCAAUCCGACUCCAUCAUCACAUGCCAGAAGUCCCUAGAUCGGCUGAUGACGACUAGAGGACUUUAGAUUCGGCCGAUCAAGUUAGGCAGCGAGCAAUUGCGGCUAUUAAUGCCCUCCUCGGGUGAAUUGUAAAAGUACUAAAUGCUCUGUAAACAUGUAAUGUCCUCUUGCCGUUGACGUGCGGGUUCAAACUUGGACUGUUCCCUGUGGCAGCCUUUUCAUUUAAUGAUCCUUUUUUCCGAUGGGACGCGCCUUACCAACCCCUCAGCCUUUUCCAUGAGACCCCGUAUCGUUUCUAAAGGCAUUCACAUCACACGUCCUCUUUUCCUCUAGUGGUUUGAUCUCCAUACCCUCAGACUAGGUGCCGAGAUGUCUUCUUCCUCUUCUUCCUUCUCCAUCUAUCAGGUACGAAAUCUUCCUUCGUUCCUCCAUCUGACAUUUCAAUCAAUCUGACGAUGAGUGGUUGUUUGCUGCUUUUCAGCCAAGACGCCUUAGUCCUGACCUGGAACGAGCGAUCGAGGUCAUGCAUUUCGACGAAUUGCUGUCGCAGGCGGACAGAGAUCUGAUCAGGGCUCAUUACGAAGAACUCAAAGAUCAUAUCCCCGCUGACGUUCAGAAGAUCCUGGACCAUAUGGAUGCCAACUGCUCCAGGUGGCCGCCAACUGAAAGGAGUCAUCCGCUUCCUCGUCAAGUCACCCUUGAGGAUACCGCGACGGGGACAUCCCAACCACCUCUUGACAGAAGCCACCCACUUCCUCGUCCAGUUGAGGUCGAAGCCGCCAUGCAGGAUCUGGAGGAAAAGAGCACCCACCUCUUGAUAGAAUUAGGCCGGAUUGAGAGGGAGAUUAAGAAAAAGCAUGGUCAAUAAAUGUGUUGGUACUUUUGUUCUAAGGGAAACUUGUACCAUGUUGGCCAUGUACCCUGUUACUGUACCGAAUAAUAAACCGGCCAGACUUAAUCAAAUGUUUCGUCCUCAAGGCGACGUUAUCUUUGCAUCAGCUAUAUAAACAAGAGCCAAUAGGAGUUGGCCACGUUGUUCUGAUGUGCCCUAUCAUCAGUUAUGCAUCCACCCAUAUAUUGGGAUAGUAUCUCUUCAGAUAUCUUCCGUUCAAGGCUCUUGUGAAUUCUUCUCCUUCGAUAGUUUCCAGUAUAUAUGCGUUUCCCAGAGUGCAUCGGCCGAUUUUAUACAACCCUUCCCAAGUGGGUGACCAUUUACUGAAUUUGAGAUCCUUAGACCCUAUCGGCAGCACCAACUUCCAUACCAAAUCUCCUUGGGAGAAUUAUUUGACCUUGACCUUCUUGUCAUACCACCUGGCCACCCUUUUCUUGUUUUCUUCAAUGCUGAUCAAGGCCCUUAACCGCUGACCUACCAAAUCGUCGAGCUCCCCCUUCAUGAGGAGGGAAUAGUCAUCGGCUGUCAACUGAUCUUGAAGCGAUGUGCGCCUUGACCCCGUCCUUAAUUCCCAAGGCAAUACUGCCUCGUGACCAUAUACCACCUGAUAAGGAGAUAUUUUAGUGGCCCCGUGGUAGGCCAUCCUGUAAGACCAUAAAGAUUCAGUUAAAGACAGGUGCCACUUCUUGGGUUGUUCUUCUAUCUUCCUGUUGAUCAAUUUGAUUAUCCCCUUAUUGGACGAUUCAGCCUGACCGUUAGCUUGAGCAUAAUAUGGAGAAGAAUUCAACAAUUUAAUUCCCAUAUCGGUGGUGAACUCUUUGAACUCUCCUGAAGUGAACAUCGUCCCCUGAUCAGUUGUGAUGGUUUGAGGGAUACCGAACUGAUAAACAAUAUGGUCUCUCACGAAAUCGACCAUAGCGGCCGAUGUUACAGCCUUCAACGGAACUGCCUCCACCCACUUGGUAAAAUAGUCAGUGGCUACUAAUAUGAACUUGUGUCCCUUGCUUGAUGGAGGGUAAAUCUAUCCGAUGAGGUCUAUUCCCCAACCUCUAAACGGCCAUGGCUUGAUUAUCAGAUUCAUAGCCGAGGCUGGUGCACGCUGCACGUUGCCAAACUUCUGACAAUCUUGACACCCUUUAUAAUAUUUGAAGCAAUCUUCGAGUAUCGUUGGCCAAUAAUACCCAUUGUUUCUGAUCAUCCACUUCAUUUUGUGAGCCGACUGAUGAGCCCCCCACACGCCCUCAUGAAUUUCUCCCAUCAGGACCUUUGCUUCUUCUGUUCCAAGGCAUUUAAGCAGAACCCCAUCAAUCGUCCGGUAGAAUAAAUCAACUUCGAGCAGCACAUAUUUCGUGGCCUAAAAAUGUAUUCGCCGAUCCACUUUCGUGGACGGAUCUUUCAAGUAAUCGGCGAUCUCCUUUCACCAAUCAUCGGCCACGAGGUCCAAAGUCAUGGCACCUUGGAUCAGCCGAUACCCGGACGCGUGUUUGGCAAGCCUAUUGGCCUCUUCAUUGUAAUUUCUGGGAAUAUGCUCAAUAACCGCAGACUUGAAUUCCUUUAAAAGUUGGAGGCAAUCUUCAUAGUAAAUCUUCAAGACGUCAUAUUUGCAUUUAGAUCUCCCCAUUAAUUGAUCCACAAUGAGCAUGGAACCCCUAAAAAUUUCCACCACAUCGGCUUUGAUCUCUCUCAACAAUUGAAUACCUUUUAGGACAGCUCGGUAUUCCACCUGAUUAUUUGUCGCGAAUGCUUCUAUUGGUAGAGAGAAAUCAUAACUUGCCCCCUAAGGCGAUAUGAGGACGAUGUCGAUUCCUGAUCAAGCCCCACAUGAAAAACCGUCGAAGUAAAGAGUCCAUGGAACUGGUUCAACGACAGCGAUUUCUGGUCCACAAUGCUGAACCACGAAAUCGGCCAUUGCUUGACCUUUGACAGCUUUGGCCGAUUCGUACCUUAGGUCAAAUUCUGACAGAGCUAGGAUCCACUUUUCAAUUCUCCCUUUCAAAAUUGGUAAUGGUAGCAUGUACUUUACUACAUCAUCCUUGCAUACGACUAUGCAUUCUGCCGAUAACAGAUAGUGCCUGAGCUUGGUGCACGAGAAAUACAGACACAGGCACAACCAUUCUACUGGGGAAUAUCUUGUUUCGGCGUCCAAGAGUCUUCUGCUAACAUAAUAUAUUACUCGUUCCUUUCCUUCGAACUCCUGUACCAGUGCCGAUCCGAUAGCCCAUUCAUCGGUCGAUAGAUAUAGUCUGAACGGCUUGUCAGCCUGUGGCGGGACUAACACGGGUGGCGAAAUUAGAUAUUGCUUGAUGUCUUCCAAUGCUUUUCGCUGUUCUUCUCCCCACACGAAUUCCUAAUCGGAUUUCAAUUUUAACAAAGGAGUGAAAGCUUGAAUACGCCCGGACAAGUUGGAUAUGAAUCUUCUGAUAAAGUUGACCUUGCUGAUUAGGGACUGCAGCUCAAUUUUAUUCUACGGGGCCACAACCUUGUUGAUGGAAGCUAUGAUCUUCCAGUUGAGUUCUAUCCCACGCUCAUGGACCAUGAAUCCUAGAAAUUGUCCGACCGACACACCGAAUGCACAUUUGUUCGGGUUCAUUUUCAACCCAUGCUUCCUUGUGCACUCCAACACUUCUCGCAAAUCGGCCAGAUGUUCCUGAUAUCCUUUUGACUUGACCACGACGUCAUCGAUGUAGAUUUCCACCAGUACACCAAUAAGCUUGUGAAAAAUAUAAUUCAUAGCCCGUUGAUAUGUAGCGCCGACUUGAAAGUAAAGUACAAUGAAAAAGUAGAUUGUUUGUAUUGAUUGAUGUGUUGUUUACAAAUCUCUAGAGAUGGCUAUUUAUAGCCUGUUACAACUGAUUUCCUAACCAACUAGGAUCUAUCACUAAUUUUAAACGAAAACAAAUAUUUACAAACACAACUCGUAUCGGAGUUGGUUAUCAUAUUCCCACGGGCCAAUCUUUCUCCAUCUUCCUUUCUGGCCCACCUUAAGCCCAUAUUGGCCCAGCUGCUCCAACCUUCC